CUACAGUGAUAUUAGAAGAUAUGGAAAGAAUAAACAAAACAGUACAAAUAAGCAAAAGUCAGAAUAUUCUCCACAACAGAUAUUAUUGACAUAGGCAGGCAGAAACAAAUUUUACGUAUAUAAACAUCACUAAACACAAAAAGACAGCCAAAGAGAGAAAAGACAAACAAUGGCAGGUAAUUUUCAAGUAGAAGGUGAUAAUUGAUAACCUCCACGGCAGAGCCAGACUCCUCUAAGCUCGAAAGAAAACCGUGUGAGAGAAAGGGAUUAAACUGCUGACGACCAGUGGCAUCAAGACUGCACGAAUCCCACUCUUCUGGUGAAACCUCUGUGAUUGAGGAAACCACAGAAA
Molecule: long non-coding RNA, 352 nt
Organism: Lycium ferocissimum
Lineage: Eukaryota; Viridiplantae; Streptophyta; Magnoliopsida; Solanales; Solanaceae
Exons: 2
Source: RefSeq, a predicted model, not a curated record